GAUGAACGCUGGCGGCGUGCCUAAUACAUGCAAGUCGAACGAACAGACGAGGCGCUUGCUCCUCUGACGUUAGCGGCGGACGGGUGAGUAACACGUGGAUAACCUACCUAUAAGACUGGGAUAACUUCGAGAAACCGGAGCUAAUACCGGAUAAUAUAUUGAACCGCAGGGUUCAAUAGUGAAAGACGGUUUUGCUGUCACUUAUAGAUGGAUCCGCGCCGCAUUAGCGAGUUGGUAAGGUAACGGCUUACCAAGGCAACGAUGCGUAGCCGACCUGAGAGGGUGAUCGGCCAGACUGGAACGGAGACACGGUCCAGACUCCUACGGGAGGCAGCAGCAGGGAAGCGUCCGCAAUGGGCGAAAGCCUGACGGAGCAACGACGCGUGAGUGAUGAAGGUCUUCGGAUCGUAAAACUCUGUUAUUAGGGAAGAACAAAUGUGUAAGUAACUAUGCACGUCGUGACGGUACCUAAUCAGAAAGCCACGGCUAACUACGUG
This 497-nucleotide ribosomal RNA is filed under the name uncultured bacterium. Its description in RNAcentral is "partial 16S ribosomal RNA". It matches the Rfam family "Bacterial small subunit ribosomal RNA", at positions 28 to 507 of the family's 1533-position model. The record is from RNAcentral.